This is a long non-coding RNA of Lotus japonicus, 1605 nucleotides long. RefSeq lists it as uncharacterized. The transcript has 5 exons. The record is from RefSeq and is a predicted model, not a curated record. Lineage: Eukaryota; Viridiplantae; Streptophyta; Magnoliopsida; Fabales; Fabaceae.
UACCAACUAUGAAGUACAAGGGGAAAAAGCUCAGCAGCCGGCUCUAAUCCCCACCACCGCGUGGCCACCUCCACCGCACCACCUCCUCUUUUCCCAUCACCACCGAGCCACAACCACCGCACCACCUCCUCUAUUCCCCUCAAACCCACCACCACCGAUCACCUCUUCACCAUCAGAAUUGCACCGCCACCUUUAGCAAAACCUAAAUCGAGCACCACCACCAUCGCUCCCUUUCUUUCCAGAUCGUGCCACCGCCGGCACCGUUCCGUCAUUUUCCCCUGAUUUCUCGCUUACUCUGUAUCAACGUCACUGAUUUCCCCCAUUUCUAGCGGUUACCGACGUCACUCGGCGCAAAAGACUUACUUUCCACGACCCUCAGCGUGCUCCCACGGAUUCUCCGGUGAUGGCCAUCACAUCUCCCUGUCAACCAUCACGUGGGUAAGCCUUCAACACAUUGUAUCUUAACGCUUCUCAUACGUUUUCUCCUAAUUUCGUCCUUUUUAUGAAUUUUUUAUCUGAUAUAGUUGAUUAGAUGUGCAUUUUUUUGGGGGAUUUGGUACUUGGUUUAGCACUUCUCAUACGUUUUGCAUUCAUCUGUAAUUUCUAUUCUGAGCAGAAGUUGGGAUUAGGUAUGUAGAUGGAGGGUUAUAGGUGGAAGGCUUUCCAGAGACUCUUCUAUUAUUUUGUUUCUUCAGAUCGAUUUGCCUAUAAAUAUCCCCUCAGAUCUCAUUCAACCACACUUCACCUCCCCUUCCCCUUCCAGUUAGCUCUGCUAUUUAACCAUUCAUUUGUGUGUUAUCAACUGUUCUGCAAAAUAUUUUGUAUUCUUGCCAUUUGUUGCCUUUCCUGAUUUCUUUUCUCUUUUUCUCAAAUAUGUGUACUCUGGAGCUCUACUUUUGUAAAUCAAUGGUUCUGCUGGAGCAAUUAAUAAAAUUAUGCAAGAAGGACAAUGGUAAUUGUGCAGGAAGAUUCCUGGUAUUGCCCCUUUGGAAGCAUUAUUUGGUUGCUUCUGAUGCCCUCUUUUUAAAGAGCGUUCAGGUUGCCUUGGCAGUACUCUAGCUGUGAUGAAGAAAUCAUCGAAAUUUCUUCCGGUUAUUGGCUGGUCAAUUUGGUUUUCAGAGUAUCUCUUUUUGGAGAGAAGUUGGGCCAAGGAUGAAAGCACAUUAAAGUCAUCCUUCCGGCGGCUGAGUGAUUUCCCUCUUCCAUUUUGGUUGGCUCUAUUUGUAGAAGGAACAUGCUUUACACAGGACAAACUCUUAGUUGCACAGGAAUAUGCAACCUCCACUGGAUUGCCUGUUCACAGGAAUAUGUUGGUCAUGUAUGGUCUCACUGCCUGUAGUGGUGUUGUUUGUUGUUUGUUGCUGAGUUUAUGAGUUUUGCAUUGUUGCUGAAAUUGAGCGUGCAAGGAAGAGUUUCUGUUUUCUUGACCAAGCCACACUCUGCUUAUGUAUCUUUGGCUGGUAGUAUAAUUCCUCAAGAGAUGGUGGUGGGGUGUUGAAUUUUGGUUAAGUGAUUAAUGAAGUAUCCAACCUUAUGUUUUGCCUCUGGAUAUGAUUGUACUUUAUAUAAAACAUAUUGGUUCCAUGUGUAAAAGUACUACACUAC